UUUAUAACGAAACAGGGAAUUCAUUUUAAUGGAAUUCCUGAAAGUCAACAGUUUUUUGGAAAAAGCCGUGGACUGGUCGACUGGCCAAAGCCACAAAAAUCGCACAUUGUCUAUGUAAAUUCGCUUUCCACAGCCAUAAUCUUCGACUCGCAUUGGACAACAAUGUCAUUGGCAGGUUUCCCAUCAUUACGGCGCACAGAAAAUGCCAAUUUACAUGAGAGUAUGUAAGCCAGCAAUUAUUUCCACAGAGCCUGCAUCUGGCGAAGAGAUUUAUUCAUUGAAAUAAAGCCAAAGAAAUGCGUCACGUUCGGCCAGUUGGAAAAAGUAACGGCAGUGUGUGACAAUUCAAAAAAAAAAACGCGCCACUUCGGACAAGAUUCAAAAUCUGCUUUGAAAUACAGUCUCACUUCAGUAAACUGAAUUUCUGGUGCGGUAAUCAAAAUGUUUGCUUGGAACAAUUUCAAUUUAAAAGCAUAUUUCAGUCUAGAAGUUUGACUUGGUUAAUUAUUGGAAACAGAGUACUCAUGACAUUCAAUUUUUAUUCCUUGCAAGAUUUUAAAGUUAAGAUUUUAAAGUUUGACAUAAAAUCCAACUGGACGAGUUCGAGCUAUAGAAGUGGGACGGACUGUAAGAGGCAGCCAACCUGUUGCCAUUACUGUUAUGAUUUCGAGCGCGAAACUUGUGCCGCAACUUGGCCAUGUGCACAUGGGUACAAACUCGUACAUUUCUUUCACUUUCUUUCUUUUGGGCACAAAGGCGGUGGCGGCGGCGGCGACGAAUUUAUUUUAAUUCGAUAGAGUUAACAACUCGGUACAUGGCGGAAUAAAAGUGAAAAGCAACCGAA
Long non-coding RNA from Drosophila santomea, 844 nucleotides. RefSeq lists it as uncharacterized. The record is from RefSeq and is a predicted model, not a curated record. The transcript has 3 exons. NCBI's taxonomy places the organism in Eukaryota, Metazoa, Arthropoda, Insecta, Diptera, Drosophilidae.